RNAcentral lists this ribosomal RNA (482 nucleotides) under Streptococcus parasanguinis. Its description in RNAcentral is "bacterial SSU rRNA". It matches the Rfam family "Bacterial small subunit ribosomal RNA", at positions 28 to 494 of the family's 1533-position model. The record is from RNAcentral. Lineage: Bacteria; Bacillati; Bacillota; Bacilli; Lactobacillales; Streptococcaceae.
GAUGAACGCUGGCGGCGUGCCUAAUACAUGCAAGUAGAACGCUGAAGCUUGGUGCUUGCACCGAGCGGAUGAGUUGCGAACGGGUGAGUAACGCGUAGGUAACCUGCCUCUUAGCGGGGGAUAACUAUUGGAAACGAUAGCUAAUACCGCAUAAAAGUCGACAUUGCAUGAUGUUGGCUUGAAAGGUGCAACUGCAUCACUAAGAGAUGGACCUGCGUUGUAUUAGCUAGUUGGUGAGGUAACGGCUCACCAAGGCGACGAUACAUAGCCGACCUGAGAGGGUGAUCGGCCACACUGGGACUGAGACACGGCCCAGACUCCUACGGGAGGCAGCAGUAGGGAAUCUUCGGCAAUGGACGGAAGUCUGACCGAGCAACGCCGCGUGAGUGAAGAAGGUUUUCGGAUCGUGAAGCUCUGUUGUAAGAGAAGAACGAGUGUGAGAGUGGAAAGUUCACACUGUGACGGAACUACCAGAAAGGACG